Molecule: small nucleolar RNA, 127 nt
Organism: Mobula hypostoma (lesser devil ray)
Lineage: Eukaryota; Metazoa; Chordata; Chondrichthyes; Myliobatiformes; Myliobatidae
Product: small nucleolar RNA SNORA31
Exons: 1
Source: RefSeq, a predicted model, not a curated record
AUGCACCUCUUGACUGUCAUGGAGCAUUGAUGUGGCUUUCUGAUUUCUGAAAGGUGCAAGAUCAAUUUCUUCGCGCUUUCUGCUUGCUCUUCCAAUGGCAGGUUGGAUUGAAUAGAAGAAAACAGUU